This 369-nucleotide ribosomal RNA is filed under the name uncultured bacterium. RNAcentral's name for it is "bacterial SSU rRNA". It matches the Rfam family "Bacterial small subunit ribosomal RNA", at positions 527 to 896 of the family's 1533-position model. The record is from RNAcentral.
GUAGGGUGCGAGCGUUAAUCGGAAUUACUGGGCGUAAAGCGUGCGCAGGCGGUUAUGUAAGACAGAUGUGAAAUCCCCGGGCUCAACCUGGGAACUGCAUUAGUGACUGCAUAGCUGGAGUACGGCAGAGGGGGAUGGAAUUCCGCGUGUAGCAGUGAAAUGCGUAGAUAUGCGGAGGAACACCGAUGGCGAAGGCAAUCCCCUGGGCCUGUACUGACGCUCAUGCACGAAAGCGUGGGGAGCAAACAGGAUUAGAUACCCUGGUAGUCCACGCCCUAAACGAUGUCAACUGGUUGUUGGGUCUUCACUGACUCAGUAACGAAGCUAACGCGUGAAGUUGACCACCUGGGGAGUACGGCCGCAAGGUUG